This is an unclassified non-coding RNA of Macaca mulatta (Rhesus monkey), 148 nucleotides long. It matches the Rfam family "Metazoan signal recognition particle RNA". From Rfam's summary of the family: The signal recognition particle (SRP) is a universally conserved ribonucleoprotein. It is involved in the co-translational targeting of proteins to membranes. The eukaryotic SRP consists of a 300-nucleotide 7S RNA and six proteins: SRPs 72, 68, 54, 19, 14, and 9. The record is from Ensembl. Lineage: Eukaryota; Metazoa; Chordata; Mammalia; Primates; Cercopithecidae.
GCUGGGCGUGGUGGCGGGCGCCUGUAGUCCCAGCUACUCUGGAGGCUGAGGCAGGAGAAUCACUGGAACCCAGAAGGUGGAGGUUGCAGUGAGCCGAGACCGUGCCACUGCACUCCAGCCUGGGUGACAGAGUGAGACCCUGUCUCAA